CGUCCGACUAAUAAUCAGCUUCGCUUUGUUGUGUCAGCUUCUGCCGACCAACCCUCGCAUCUCGCUCUUCCGGGCAUUUUUUGUGCUCCGACCCCACCCUAAGGUCCGAGGGUGGUGGCUCUUCAACCUCCGGAAGGGUCUUUCCUUCAUCACUAGUCUUCCAUCGUCCAUCCACGGGUGGAAGAACCAGUUUUUCUUCGUCUCAUCUUCUU
This 212-nucleotide long non-coding RNA is filed under the name Elaeis guineensis (African oil palm). RNAcentral's name for it is "long non-coding RNA (EGUI_LNC017614)". Lineage: Eukaryota; Viridiplantae; Streptophyta; Magnoliopsida; Arecales; Arecaceae. The record is from RNAcentral.